Molecule: ribosomal RNA, 2894 nt
Filed under: Stenotrophomonas maltophilia
Lineage: Bacteria; Pseudomonadati; Pseudomonadota; Gammaproteobacteria; Lysobacterales; Lysobacteraceae
Description: bacterial LSU rRNA
Rfam family: Bacterial large subunit ribosomal RNA
Source: RNAcentral
GUUAUAUGGUCAAGCGAAUAAGCGCACACGGUGGAUGCCUUGGCGGUCAGAGGCGAUGAAGGACGUGGCAGCCUGCGAAAAGUAUCGGGGAGCUGGCAACAAGCUUUGAUCCGGUAAUGUCCGAAUGGGGAAACCCACCCGCUUGCGGGUAUCCUGCAGUGAAUACAUAGCUGCUGGAAGCGAACCUGGUGAACUGAAAUAUCUAAGUAACCAGAGGAAAAGAAAUCAACCGAGAUUCCGUAAGUAGCGACGAGCGAACGCGGACUAGCCCUUAAGCUGGAUUGGUUCUAGGAAAACGCUCUGGAAAGAGCGGCCAUAGAAGGUGAUAGCCCUGUAUCUGAAAGGGCCAUUCCAGUGAAGACGAGUAGGGCGGGGCACGUGAAACCCUGUCUGAACAUGGGGGGACCAUCCUCCAAGGCUAAAUACUACUGACCGACCGAUAGUGAACCAGUACCGUGAGGGAAAGGCGAAAAGAACCCCGGAGAGGGGAGUGAAAUAGAACCUGAAACCGUGUGCGUACAAGCAGUAGGAGCUCCGCAAGGAGUGACUGCGUACCUUUUGUAUAAUGGGUCAGCGACUUACUGUUCGUGGCAAGCUUAACCGUAUAGGGGAGGCGAAGGGAAACCGAGUCUGAUAAGGGCGCAUAGUCGCGGGCAGUAGACCCGAAACCGGGUGAUCUAGUCAUGCCCAGGGUGAAGGUGCGGUAACACGCACUGGAGGCCCGAACCCACUCCCGUUGCAAAGGUAGGGGAUGAGGUGUGAUUAGGAGUGAAAAGCUAAUCGAACCCGGAGAUAGCUGGUUCUCCUCGAAAGCUAUUUAGGUAGCGCCUCAUAUGUAUCCUCUCGGGGGUAGAGCACUGUUAUGGCUAGGGGGUCAUCGCGACUUACCAAACCAUUGCAAACUCCGAAUACCGAGACGGACUGUAUGGGAGACACACGGCGGGUGCUAACGUCCGUCGUGAAAAGGGAAACAACCCAGACCCACAGCUAAGGUCCCAAAUUCACUGCUAAGUGGAAAACCAUGUGGAAAGGCACAGACAGCCAGGAGGUUGGCUUAGAAGCAGCCACCCUUUAAAGAAAGCGUAAUAGCUCACUGGUCGAGUCGGUCUGCGGGGAAGAUUUAACGGGGCUAAGCAGUGAACCGAAGCUUGGGGUGCAUAACUUUGUUAUGCGCGGUAGAGGAGCGUUCCGUAAGCCGUUGAAGGUGGAUUGAGAAGUCUGCUGGAGGUAUCGGAAGUGCGAAUGCUGACAUGAGUAACGAUAAUGCGGGUGAAAAACCCGCACGCCGAAAGCCCAAGGUUUCCUUGCGCAACGUUAAUCGGCGCAGGGUGAGUCGGCCCCUAAGGCGAGGACGAAAGUCGUAGUCGAUGGGAAGCAGGUUAAUAUUCCUGCACCUCGCGUAAGUGCGAUGGAGGGACGGAGAAGGUUAGGUGUACCAGGCGUUGGUUGUCCUGGGGAAAGGCGGUAGGUUUGGAUCUUUGGCAAAUCCGGGAUCCUUUAAGACCGAGCACCGAGACGAGCCUUUAUGGCGAAGUCACUGAUACCACGCUUCCAGGAAAAGCUCCUAAGCUUCAGCUUACGCAGACCGUACCGUAAACCGACACAGGUGGGUAGGAUGAGAAUUCUCAGGCGCUUGAGAGAACUCGGGUGAAGGAACUAGGCAACAUGGCACCGUAACUUCGGGAGAAGGUGCACCCUUUUUGGUGGCUCGUGCGAGCUAUAGCUGAAGAGGGUCGCAGUAACCAGGCCGCUGCGACUGUUUAUCAAAAACACAGCACUCUGCAAACACGAAAGUGGACGUAUAGGGUGUGACGCCUGCCCGGUGCUGGAAGGUUAAUUGAUGGGGUCAGCCGCAAGGCGAAGCUCUUGAUCGAAGCCCCAGUAAACGGCGGCCGUAACUAUAACGGUCCUAAGGUAGCGAAAUUCCUUGUCGGGUAAGUUCCGACCUGCACGAAUGGCGUAACGACAGCGGCGCUGUCUCCACCCGAGACUCAGUGAAAUUGAAAUCGCUGUGAAGAUGCAGCGUUCCCGUGGCAAGACGGAAAGACCCCGUGAACCUUUACUAUAGCUUUACACUGAACGUUGAGUUCGUCUGUGUAGGAUAGGUGGGAGGCUAUGAAACCAUGGCGCUAGCUGUGGCGGAGCCAUCCUUGAAAUACCACCCUGUCGUGCUUGACGUUCUAACCUGGGCCCAUUAUCUGGGUCGGGGACCGUGUAUGGUGGGUAGUUUGACUGGGGCGGUCUCCUCCUAAAGAGUAACGGAGGAGCUCGAAGGUACGCUCAGCGCGGUCGGACAUCGCGCACUGUGUGCAAAGGCAUAAGCGUGCUUGACUGCAAGAUCGACGGAUCAAGCAGGUAGGAAACUAGGACUUAGUGAUCCGGUGGUUCUGUAUGGAAGGGCCAUCGCUCAACGGAUAAAAGGUACUCCGGGGAUAACAGGCUGAUACCGCCCAAGAGUUCAUAUCGACGGCGGUGUUUGGCACCUCGAUGUCGGCUCAUCACAUCCUGGGGCUGUAGUCGGUCCCAAGGGUAUGGCUGUUCGCCAUUUAAAGUGGUACGCGAGCUGGGUUCAGAACGUCGUGAGACAGUUCGGUCCCUAUCUGCCAUGGGCGUUGGAGAUUUGAGAGGGGCUGCUCCUAGUACGAGAGGACCGGAGUGGACGAACCUCUGGUGUUCCGGUUGUCACGCCAGUGGCAUUGCCGGGUAGCUAUGUUCGGAAGCGAUAACCGCUGAAAGCAUCUAAGCGGGAAGCGCGCCUCAAGAUGAGAUCUCCCGGGGCACAAGCCCCCUGAAGGAACCAUGUAGACUACGUGGUUGAUAGGUCAGGUGUGUAAGUACAGCAAUGUAUUGAGCUAACUGAUACUAAUGAUCCGUGCGGCUUGACCAUAUAACCU